Molecule: ribosomal RNA, 497 nt
Filed under: uncultured bacterium
Lineage: Bacteria
Description: partial 16S ribosomal RNA
Rfam family: Bacterial small subunit ribosomal RNA
Source: RNAcentral
ACUCAAAGGAAUAGACGGGGGCCCGCACAAGCGGCGGAGCAUGUUGCUUAAUUCGAGGCAACGCGAAGAACCUUACCUGGGCUUGACAUGCAGGGAAAAGCCGUAGAGAUACGGUGUCCUUCGGGGCCUUGCACAGGUGGUGCAUGGCUGUCGUCAGCUCGUGUCGUGAGAUGUUGGGUUAAGUCCCGCAACGAGCGCAACCCUUGUCCCAUGUUGCCAGCGGGUAAUGCCGGGGACUCGUGGGAGACUGCCGGGGUCAACUCGGAGGAAGGUGGGGACGACGUCAAGUCAUCAUGCCCCUUAUGUCCAGGGCUGCAAACAUGCUACAAUGGCCAGUACAGAGGGCUGCGAAACCGCGAGGUCGAGCGAAUCCCACAAAGCUGGUCUCAGUUCGGAUUGGAGUCUGCAACUCGACUCCAUGAAGCCGGAGUCGCUAGUAAUCCCGGAUCAGCAACGCCGGGGUGAAUACGUUCCCGGGCCUUGUACACACCGCCCGU